CUCCUUGGCAUGGAGGAGGCCUCGGGUUCAAAUCCCGACAAGUCCA
This 46-nucleotide transfer RNA is filed under the name Euryarchaeota archaeon RBG_13_31_8. RNAcentral's name for it is "tRNA-Leu". It matches the Rfam family "tRNA", at positions 27 to 71 of the family's 71-position model. From Rfam's summary of the family: Transfer RNA (tRNA) molecules are approximately 80 nucleotides in length. Their secondary structure includes four short double-helical elements and three loops (D, anti-codon, and T loops). The record is from RNAcentral. Lineage: Archaea; Methanobacteriati; Methanobacteriota.